GGAGGUAUGAGCCGAUGAAGGAGCUGGGCUCCGGCAACUUCGGGGUGGCGAGGUUGGUGAGGGACAAGACUACCAAGGAGCUGUUGGCUGUCAAGUAUAUUGAGAGGGGGAAGAAGAUUGACGAGAAUGUGCAGAGAGAAAUUAUUAAUCACCGAGCUCUGAGGCAUCCCAACAUUGUUCGGUUUAAAGAGGUCUUGCUUACACCAACUCACCUCGCAAUCGUCAUGGAAUAUGCUGCUGGAGGUGAGCUAUUUGAGAAAAUAUGCAGUGCUGGCCGGUUUAGCGAGGAUGAGGCGAGAUUUUUCUUUCAGCAGUUAAUAUCAGGAGUCAGUUACUGCCAUUCCGUGGAGAUCUGUCACCGUGAUCUUAAACUGGAGAACACACUCUUAGAUGGAAGUCCAACACCACGCCUUAAAAUAUGUGACUUCGGCUAUUCGAAGUCUGGUUUAUUGCAUUCACAACCCAAAUCGACAGUAGGUACCCCUGCAUACAUAGCCCCAGAGGUUCUUUCCCGAAAGGAGUAUGAUGGCAAGAUUGCAGAUGUUUGGUCCUGUGGUGUCACAUUGUAUGUGAUGUUGGUGGGAUCAUACCCAUUCGAGGACUCAGAGGACCCCAGAAACUUCAGAAAGACAAUUGGUAGAAUUCUGAAUGUUCAAUACUGCUUUCCGGAUUACGUUCGUGUGUCUGCCGAGUGCAGACAGAUUCUGUCACAAAUCUUUGUAGCCAACCCGGCAAAGAGGAUCACAAUACCGGAAAUAAGAAAGCAACCCUGGUUUCUGAAGAACCUUCCUAGUGAUCUGGUGGAGGGCGAGAAAACAAACUAUGCAGCUGACGAGCUCAACAAGCCUUCCCAGAGCGUCGAAGAAAUAAUGCGGAUUAUACAGGAGGCGAAGACGCCAGCAGAGGGUUCUCAGACUGUCGACAGAUCAGCG
This 932-nucleotide unclassified non-coding RNA is filed under the name Hevea brasiliensis (rubber tree). Lineage: Eukaryota; Viridiplantae; Streptophyta; Magnoliopsida; Malpighiales; Euphorbiaceae. The record is from RNAcentral.